RNAcentral lists this ribosomal RNA (495 nucleotides) under uncultured bacterium. Its description in RNAcentral is "partial 16S ribosomal RNA". It matches the Rfam family "Bacterial small subunit ribosomal RNA", at positions 28 to 507 of the family's 1533-position model. The record is from RNAcentral.
GACGAACGCUGGCGGCGUGCCUAAUACAUGCAAGUAGAACGCUGAAGGAGGAGCUUGCUUCUCCGGAUGAGUUGCGAACGGGUGAGUAACGCGUAGGUAACCUGCCUGGUAGCGGGGGAUAACUAUUGGAAACGAUAGCUAAUACCGCAUAACAGUAGAUAUCGCAUGAUAUCUGCUUGAAAGGUGCAAUUGCAUCCCUACCAGAUGGACCUGCGUUGUAUUAGCUAGUUGGUGAGGUAACGGCUCACCAAGGCGACGAUACAUAGCCGACCUGAGAGGGUGAUCGGCCACACUGGGACUGAGACACGGCCCAGACUCCUACGGGAGGCAGCAGUAGGGAAUCUUCGGCAAUGGACGGAAGUCUGACCGAGCAACGCCGCGUGAGUGAAGAAGGGUUUCGGAUCGGAAAGCUCUGUUGUAAGAGAAGAACGAGUGUGAGAGUGGAAAGUUCACACUGUGACGGUAUCUUACCAGAAAGAGACGGCUAACUACGUG